GAUGAACGCUGGCGGCGUGCUUAACACAUGCAAGUCGAACGGAAAGGCCCUGCUUUUGCGGGGUGCUCGAGUGGCGAACGGGUGAGUAACACGUGAGUAACCUGCCCUUGACUUUGGGAUAACUUCAGGAAACUGGGGCUAAUACCGGAUAGGAGCUCCUGCUGCAUGGUGGGGGUUGGAAAGUUUCGGCGGUGGGGGAUGGACUGGCGGCUUACCAGCUUGUUGGUGGGGUAGUGGCUUACCAAGGUUUUGACGGAUAGCCGGCCUGGGAGGGCGACCGGCGACAUGAGGACUAAGAUACGGCGCAGACUCCUACGUGAGGCAACAGGGGGAAGUAUUACACAAUGGGCGGAAGCCUGAUGCGACAACGCCGCGUGCGUGAUGACGGCCUUCGGGUUGUGAACCGCUGUCGCCUGUGACGAAGCGUGAGUGACGGUAAUGAGUAAAGAAGCACCGGCUAACUACGUG
This 468-nucleotide ribosomal RNA is filed under the name uncultured bacterium. RNAcentral's name for it is "partial 16S ribosomal RNA". It matches the Rfam family "Bacterial small subunit ribosomal RNA", at positions 28 to 507 of the family's 1533-position model. The record is from RNAcentral.